CUGUGUUCUUGGGGACGUUCAAUGCUGCAGACAUUUUUUGGUACCCUUCCCCAGAUCUGUGCCUAGACACAAUACUGUCUACGGACAAUUCCUUCGACCUCAUGGCUUGUUUUUUGGUCUGACAUGGACUGUCAACUGUGCAACCUUAUAUAGACAGGUGUGUGCCUUUCCAAAUCAUGUCCAAUUAAUUGGAUUUACCACAGGUGGACUCCAAUUAAGUUGUAGAAACAUCUCAAGGAUGAUCAACGGAAACAGGAUGCACCUGAGCUCAAUCAAGUCUCAUAGCAAAGGGUCUGAAUACUUAUGUAAGUAAGGUAUUUCUGUUUCAUAUGUUUAAUACAUUAGCCAAAAUUUCUAAAAACCUGUUUUUCACUUUGUCAUUAUGGGGUAUUGUGUGUAGAUUGAUGAGGAAAAAACUGUAUUUAAUCAAUUUUAGGAUAAGGCUGGAACGUAACAAAAUGUGGAAAAAGGGAAGGGGUUUGAAUAGUUUCAGGAUGCACUGUAUGUACCAGUAUUAUAUCUAUUUUCUUUAGAUAGCUACACAUUACCUUGUUACUUUUAGAGGCUGUUGCUGUUUUUUUUUUUUUUUACUAUUAUCUGUAGAGCAUGAUAUUACAGUAUAAUAUUGGUAUCAGAUACACCAUUCAGGAGAUAGCUCAGGAAAUGUCUGAAUUGUGAUUCCUUUUACAGUAUUAUUAUAGGCAAGGAGCCUUGUUGUUUUGUUUCUGUUUAAUUGAUUAAGUCCAUGCCUUGAUGGCUAUUUUGUAAAUGUUAUAUUUUUAAAUACCAUUGCUUGUGCAUACCUCAUAGAAUAAAAAUAACUCUUUAAGACUAAUUUUUUUUAUUUGAUUUGCAAUGCUAAUAUGCCAUAUUUUCUAUAUUUGCACUUUUCCGCAGUUGUCUCUUUCCCUCUUCCUGUUGAGGGUGUCUUUGCAUAUCACCCCUAAUAUGUUUCUGCUUUUAUUUAUUUGUUUUGGUCACUUCUGCCAUACAUAGACUUGGUUAUUUGGUUUGUCAGAGGUGUACUUUGUAAAUGCAACCCAACAACAUGUGCCUUAAAUUGUCAUAAAAUUCCAAUCCUCAGACAAAUAAAGAGUUAUGUCCAUGGA
Oncorhynchus tshawytscha (Chinook salmon) is the source of this 1109-nucleotide long non-coding RNA. NCBI's taxonomy places the organism in Eukaryota, Metazoa, Chordata, Actinopteri, Salmoniformes, Salmonidae. The record is from Ensembl.